This 253-nucleotide ribosomal RNA is filed under the name uncultured bacterium. RNAcentral's name for it is "partial 16S ribosomal RNA". It matches the Rfam family "Bacterial small subunit ribosomal RNA", at positions 524 to 776 of the family's 1533-position model. The record is from RNAcentral.
UACGGGGGGGGCGAGCGUUGUUCGGAAUUACUGGGCGUAAAGGGCUCGUAGGCGGCCAACUAAGUCAUACGUGAAAUCCCCCGGCUUAACCGGGGAACUGCGUCUGAUACUGGAUGGCUUGAGUUCGGGAGAGGGAUGCGGAAUUCCAGGUGUAGCGGUGAAAUGCGUAGAUAUCUGGAGGAACACCGGUGGCGAAGGCGGCAUCCUGGACCGAUACUGACGCUGAGGAGCGAAAGCCAGGGGAGCAAACGGG